This is an RNA transcript of Monopterus albus (swamp eel), 12996 nucleotides long. It is a transcript of the gene named potassium voltage-gated channel subfamily C member 1-like, with no coding region annotated. The record is from RefSeq and is a predicted model, not a curated record. The transcript is spliced from 6 exons. Lineage: Eukaryota; Metazoa; Chordata; Actinopteri; Synbranchiformes; Synbranchidae.
GUGGCACAUGGUGGCCCAUCAUCUUACUAAGACACAUUAUGUUGUUGUUUUUCUGAAUUAAAAACCCCUACAGACUUUGGUGGAAAGGCACUGGGUCCUGUUUUAUCAACUUGAAUUAUCUAUGAAUUCUUGUAUUCAACACCUUUAUAAAUCUUGUGCUUGACUGAUCCUAGACAAUGCUGCAGGGGUUUGGGAGGUUAGAAAUUAGCAAGGAGUGAUAUAGUGCAGAACAGAGUUAUGCACUGUUUCCGAAAGGGUACAGAAAACAGCCCUAAACCUUGCACUUAGUGAAGUGUUGGUUGGAAGCUAGACCGAGUGCAGCUUAGUUCCUAAAUAAUAGCAAUACAAAAUACAUUCAGCUUUACCAGACCUAAAGUAUUUUCAUAUUUUAGACCACAUGUGAAUGUAGCUCAUGCUUGGAAUGACUUACAGUGAACAAAUAAAGGCGUAAAGUCUCACUCACUGGCUCCUUAACAGGACAUGUGAGAUCAUACCUAUAAUCUUGUGCUAUGGUUUACCAGAAAUCCAGGGAAAUAAGUGGGAAAAGGUUUUUCAAAUGGGUCAGUGAUAGCAGAAAGAAAGACCGGGAACUGUCGAUGGAAAACAUUUAAGGACAUCAGAAUCUGCAGUCCAGCUGCCAACCCACUCCUUUUUGUGAAAAAGACAUUUUUUGCAUUUGCAUCUUUUUACUUUGUCUGGUUUACCAAAGCACUCUGUGUCCCAGCUGACACAAUUCCUGUUUUCUAGUGUCAGAUGUUCUUGACUUUAUGACAGAUUUUAAUUAUGCAUCCUGUGACUCAGUGUUCAGCAUAGCUGUACUGACCUUUUUGCUUUGCACUAGCUCCUGCUUUAGUGUCUCCUGCAACAUUCGCAUCCUUUUUCUGUCUGCACUUCACUCUUACAAGAACAAUUUGUGGUCUAAGGAAAAUGCCUUUUGCCAUUUACUGCUCUAAUUUUUAUCAGAUGAUGUUGCACUCAGUUUCCUCUCCAUAAGUGCAUCAGCAACAUUUGCUGAUCAUUAAUGCUCAGACCAACAGGCCGUCUUGCAGAAACAAAAUAGAGGUUUUAUGGUCACAAUAACAACCAGUUGUGUUUGUUUUAACCUCCAGUGCUUAUUUCUUGCAGCUUGUCUUAUGUAUUUAUCUGUGUUUGCCUUCAGAUUCUUAAUCAAAACUGCAUCCCCUCUUCUUCUUCUUAUAAUCAUUUUUGAACAUAUUACUCCAGACUCUGUCACUUCACACCUGUUCCUUUGCUACCACAUGACUACUGAUUUCAGCCAAGCCAGUCAAGCCUGGGAACCUGUAGACAAAAUGGUGUUUGUACAUCCGUCCAGCAGAGUGAGCAUGUGUGGGCUAAAGUGAGGGAGACAAAAAAAGCCACAGAAAAAUAUCCAAUUAAAUAGACGACAGUAAAUCAACAUCUUUUCCCUCUGUGUGUGCGUAUUUUUACGACAUAUGCAUUUAUGGAGUUCAGCAGCCGUAUGAGGAAAUUAGCCUGUGUAUCCGCCGAGGUCCUCCCGCCCCUCUGUCUUGUUCUCUAAUCCGCCCACAUGUAUCGUCUGAAGAAAAAAAUAGUGCAGAAGGUGACGCUCCUCCAAAGGAACAGAGAGGGAAAGGCAGAGAGGUGUCUACAGGCUGCAUGUCCAUUGAAACAUUUCGAAGGGGGAGACAGAGGAAGAGGCUGAAUGGUAGCUACACCCUGCGCCUGGAAGCGUAGAGACACUGUAACAAAGGCUGGCAGUUAUUUUUGGCAAUAACAAAGAGGUGGGAGAGGGGCUCUGAAAUCGAGGGAAAUAGCAAAAAAAAGACAGUUUUCAGGGGGACUUCUGCUUCAUUUCAUCCGAAAGACUCAUCCCUUGUCAUCAUCAGCAUGACCAUAAGCUAUAAGUAACAUUCGGCAAUAACGUUGUCCAAACGAGAUUUUCAGCAACAGACGCGCGCAAUCCUAUUUUGGUUUAUUAUAAUCGGGGGUGGGGGGGUGGGGGGGAAGCUCACCUGAAUGCCUGCGACAAACUGGAUACUAUCUGAAAUCAUAAAGAGCGAUCUAACAAAGAAACUACAUUUUGAUUGAUCUUAAAGCUUGAUGUGCGUGUUUCUGCACGCACUCGAAACGAACCUGAACCAAAAGCAAACUUCUCAGACUCCUCCCUCCUCCUCCCUUCGGUUUCUCUCAUCCUCUCCCUCCCUCCCCCCGGUCCUCUAUGCUCAGUUCAGUGUGUGUAUCCUCUUUCAAAGGGCGCAAGGGUGGGAACAAGUCGUCCAACAAAGCAUGUUACAGCGCAGACAUGACUUGUCCGUCGGAAAGCGAGAAAAUCGUGAUAAACUGCGGGGGGGUGCGGCAUGAGACCUACCGGAGCACCCUAAAAACGUUGCCCGGUACCCGCUUAUCUUGGCUCACCGAGCCGGACGCAUUCAGCAACUUCGACUACGACCCCAAAUUAGACGAGUUCUUCUUCGACCGCCACCCGUCAGUGUUUUCCUUCAUCCUCAACUAUUACCGCACCGGGAAGUUGCACUGUCCCAAUGAUGUGUGCGGUCCCCUGUUCGAAGAGGAGCUGGCCUUCUGGGGCAUCGACGAGACAGACGUGGAGGCGUGUUGCUGGAUGAAUUACCGGCAACAUCGGGAUGCAGAGGAGGCACUGGACAGCUUCGAGACUCCAGAACCGGACGCGCCUGACGACGACCCGGCCCUGGGUGGUGCGGAUGGGGAUUUAAAAAGACUGUGCAUGCAGGAGGACACAAGGAAAGCGGGCUGGUGGAAAACCUGGCAGCCUAAAAUAUGGGCACUGUUUGAGGACCCCUAUUCCUCCAAAUAUGCCCGGUAUGUGGCAUUUGGCUCCCUAUUCUUCAUUCUCCUCUCCAUCUCCACUUUCUGCAUGGAGACGCAUGAGGCCUUCAACACCAUCAUCAACAAGACAGAGAACGUCACGGUGGGCAACACAACUCGUGAGGAGAAUGUAUAUGAGGUGGUGACUGACAAUUGGUUGACAUAUGUGGAGGGCGUGUGCGUCAUUUGGUUCACCAUCGAGGUCCUGCUACGAGUCACCUUCUGCCCAGACAAGUUAGAAUUCUUCAAAAGCGCCCUCAACAUCAUUGACUUUGUUGCCAUCCUGCCCUUCUAUCUUGAGGUGGGCCUGAGUGGUCUGUCCUCCAAAGCUGCCAAGGAUGUCCUAGGGUUCCUCCGUGUUGUCCGAUUUGUCCGUAUCCUCAGAAUCUUUAAGUUAACCCGCCACUUUGUGGGUCUCCGUGUCCUUGGCCACACCCUUCGUGCCAGCACCAAUGAAUUCCUCCUGCUCAUCAUCUUCUUAGCCCUUGGUGUUCUCAUCUUUGCCACUAUGAUCUACUAUGCUGAACGAAUUGCCGCAGACCCAAAUGACCCAACAGGCAGUGCCCACACCAACUUCAAGAACAUCCCCAUUGGAUUUUGGUGGGCUGUUGUGACCAUGACCACAUUGGGAUAUGGAGAUAUGUACCCAGAGACGUGGUCAGGGAUGUUGGUGGGUGCGCUGUGUGCCUUGGCUGGUGUGCUGACCAUUGCUAUGCCUGUACCUGUCAUUGUCAACAACUUCGGCAUGUACUACUCCUUGGCCAUGGCCAAACAAAAGCUGCCCAAAAAGAAGAACAAACACAUCCCCCGAGCACCCCAGCCAGGGUCCCCCAACUACUGCAAGCCAGAUGCCCUUGCUAUGGCUACUGCAUCACCACAAAGAAUCUUGGGAAAUGUCCUUGGUGGAGUGAUGGGAUCUGGAGGCAUAGGGGGUGACUGUCCUCUCGCCCAAGAAGAAAUAAUAGAGAUUAACAGAGAUUCCAAGCAGAAUGGUGAUGCAGCCUCAGCCGCCUUGGCUAACGAGGACUGUCCCACCAUUGACCAGGUGCUGAGCCCAGAUGAGAGGAGCCCUAUUGGCCGGGGGCCUACCCGGGAACGCUACCAGCAGGACCGCGCCUGCUUCCUUCUCAACACCAGGGAAUUCCGUGCCGCAGAUGGGAAUGUGCGGAAAGGUUGUGUCAUAUCACGCGUGUGUAUGUGGGCUUUUUCAUUCUUACAUGUUAUACAUAACUGUGUCUCUGUCUUCUCAAUGCCGUCUGAGUGUUGUGUUUGUGUUGUUGUGUGUGGCUUAAUUUUGUUUUUUCCCCUUCUACCGUGUUUACUCGUGUUAGUCCCUACCCCACGGACCUCCGCCUUGGCAAACAUAACCACAUGCUGCAAUUUAGAUACAGUUUGCCUUGAAAACGCAUUCUUCUUACAUUUUUAUACACAAUACUGUAUGUACAUGCACUCAUGCACAGGUUUAACUGACACUCUUCAUGUGCAUAUCUGUGUGUACAUGUACCUUGUUUUAUGUCAAAUCAGUUGGCCAGCCUUGAUAGCCUUCCACAGGACACUGAUUGCAGUGUUAUAGGAAUGUCAUCUUUCCAAGGCCCAAGGUCACUGGGGUCAGGAUGGUAGUCAAGGUCAGGGGAUAGUACCUCUUGAAACAUGCCACGCUAUAAACAGGCAACAAGAAUUCAACACUGUUAUCACACUUGAUGUUUUAUGUCAGCUUUGCAAACACUUUGCGAGCACUUCAUAGUUAUUGUGAUGCUGGUUUACUAAAUAUUGUGCUGCGAGCGUGUAAUGGAUCUGAAGUACUAUUCCCUAGACCAUGUAACUGUGCUUUCAGCGCCUAGUGUAGUCCAAAGUUCAGGACCUUUUUGUAUUUGUGUUGUGGAGUCCUGGAUAGAAUUUAAAGGGUUAUAAAGCUGCACUCGGUGACUGAAACACUUACUGUCGAGACAGACAAAUACUAUGACAGAUCUGAUUGAAAAGUAGCCACAUGCUGUCUAAGGUAAGCAAGCCUUCAGCUGUCCAAGCCCUUCACUUAGAGGUCCCUGACAUCGCUUCAGUUUCAGUGGUUUUUAUGUAUAAAGUGCAAUUUAAGUGCUACAAAAAUCCCUCUUUAGAGCAAAUCAGGAGCCCACUGAAGAAUAUAAACACUGGAGUCACUCGAAUGGGAAGUUGUACACUGUCAUUUAAACAUAUAGGUUGGGGAUCUACAGUGGUUCUAGUCGGUAUUGAUAUAUUCAGCCUUGUGCAUCAUCAGAAAAUGAGCGCAUACUUGGUGCUUACAGUAAAUACCAGAGAAAUCUGAUGCACUUCUUUCCAUCUACUGAACCCGAUCCUCCAGCAUUUGAUAACAAGGUCAUGUGUAUACAGCCCUGUGUUAGACAAUCUGUCCAGUGUUUCCACCCUUUGUCCCGGUGCAGUUGUAAAUACAGUAAAUACAUGGCUAUGUACAGAAAGUUGUAUACAUCGCUGUACAUGAUUAUCAAUUACUUAACAGAGACAAACAGUACUGAACAUCAAGAAGAAACAUUGGGUAUAUGUCCCUGUUCUCCUCUGAUAAUGAAAAUUCUCCUUGUUUUUAAAGAGGGAUUGUCAUGCUGUCUAAAACCCAUUCUUGUAUGUUUCAGUUGUGAUUUAUUUCAUAGAUACACACAUAAGAUGUCUUUGCCAACUGCUUUUAUUCCAGUUUCUUCUCUUUGAUUGUUGGCCAUUUGACUUCCUGUGCACCCAGUGCAGUAUGCAUGGCUCACUCGGGUCAAACGGUCAAUCACCCCUUUGAUUGCCCACUCCCAAUCACUCCUCUAGACCUUUCCUCAAGGAUUGUCCUCUUCAGUCUCGUUAGGGUUCUGUCUGUCUCUCUCUCUUUCUCUUCCUCUCCCUUCUCUCUUCGUUCAGUUUCUCACUAUGUGUGCCAAUUAUUUUGUUCUUUUAUUUCGUAGGUUUUUGUGCUUUUUUAUGGCCUGUGUUUCUAACAUGAUGUGUACAUCAAUAAUUAAUUUAUUAUGUGGUGUAUUAUGUAGUGAUUUCUGUAGAGGUUUGUGUUUUGAUGUCUUAGUGUGAAUGUUUUGUCUUUUAAUGUGUGAAGGAUUAAGUUCUGUUUAUUUUUAAUGAAUAUAUUUUUUGCUGUUUUCUGUGGUUAUGGUCUGUUUAAUUUGGAAUGUCUUUGAGUUUUGUACAAGUGUGUUUUGUUGUCUGGUGUUUUGACUUCCCCCUAUGUUCUUCCUGUGUUUUGCUCUGAGUUUUACCAUCACCUACUAUCUGCCUUGUGUGAAUUGCAAUGAUAACAUAAAAUACCAACAAAAUUGUGAGGUUAACACAACAAUGGCACUAAUAUCACCAAUUCAGGACAUUCUCAAGGACUAAUUGGACAACAAAGCUUGUUGUUCUUUACCAAAUUCAACCAAACUCACACUAUAAAAAGAUUUAAUGUAUUUUUGACAUGCGAAUAGGGAUUAUAAUUUUUAUUUGACAGUUCAAACCCCCCAAAGAACUGAAUUUCUGCUUUGCAGUUUAACACAACAUUGAGCUAAAUUUACUUAUAAACAAGCUAGUAUAUUUAGCAAGGUGCAUUCUUCUUUUUAUUUACCUAAUGGUUAACUAUUCAUAAUUGUACUAUUGAUUCGGAUAAAUUGAUGGUGGAACUAUUUGUCAGGAGUUUUAGUGUAUUUGCCUACUGGCCACCACCACAACACACCUGUUGUUUCUGCCUGUGUCUUAGCAACAUUAUUCACUGUGGUCAGUUUCUGUUCAGUUUUAUGUGACACACCUCGGUACAAGUGGCUGUCAAAUCAAACACAACAUAUUAACUCCAAAUGUAACUCCUAAAAUCUUUCUAAUUGGUGUGAAAAUGAGUUUAAUGUGGUAACAUGUCAGUGUCCUCUUUAAGUCAUACGCAUUAUGUUAAACCUGUUCAACAUCAUCAUGCAUGUUCUGAUGUGUGCAACAGUAUCACUUUGUUUUUUACAAUGUUGGCUCAUCACAACAAUCUGCAAAUAUUAUUUUGCCUGAGCCAGAUUUUUUUUUAACCUUAUAAUAGAAAUAAUAUGACAUGAUUAUAUGUACAGUAUGUAUGUCAAUGUUUAUUUAUAAGAAGUAUAUAUAUGUAUACAGUAUAUAAAGCAUUAAUUGGAACUUGAACUGUAAUACAAAUGUGCUCACACAGAUAGGUCUACACACAGGUAACAAAAAGACAUGAGAAACAGCUGCAUGCCACCUAGUUUCCCCAAAAGAUAACAGAGGUACUCUGUGUACUGUGUGGACAUAUUGUGGUAGAGGUUGAUACAUCUCAUUAUGGGUAACAGGAGAUCACCCUAUCCUAACAGGCAUUUGAGUUCAUGUAAUGAUAGAAUGAUAGUGUGUGGCCAUGCCAAGAAUAGCAUCUGAACUGUCAACAAAUUCUUUGCAUCCACAACAGGCACACAGUCAUACAAUUGCAGGAUGUAUGAGAAGUAAGUAAUAGAGGUGUUCAAGUAGUUUUCUGCCUUCUGUAUACUGUACAUACAAUAUAUAUACGGGAAUAUUAUAUAUUUUGUUCACUCUAUUUCAUUUUACAUGAUUAUUUCUUUGAGUUGAGGCAGAAUAUUUGCAGCUUCCCUCUCUCUGUUUCUGUGUUUUCCCUCUCCAUAACCUUCUCCCUCUGUGAUUAACACUCAUUCUCCAUCCCAUCCCCAGGCCGCCACUGCAGCGCAAGUGUAACUAAAGUCUGACUAUAGUGUUAAGUUUCUAGCAUUCGCCUUCUCUCUAAUGAGGAGUCAGUAACUGGUAAACACAAAUUUGCGGCGGGAGCCAUGUAAGCGACAGGUGUGACAAGGAUGGACGGUUUUAAAGGACAUCUUUGGGGUGACAAGAGAGAGACCAGAGGUUAAUCAUUAAUUUAAGUCAUGUGGUCUGCUCCUCAUGUUGUUACCAAAGCAGCCUCUCGGAACUCUGACCACACUUUGAGAACUGUCUGACUGACCUCCUUUUUGUUCCUCCCCUUUUUGACUUUUUUUUUUUCGAGCAAAUGGACGGAGCAUUGCACUGACACAUUUUUGGAGAGAAAAGGACUCCUGAUUAUACAGUACAUUCCAGAUAACAUCUCUCUGAUCACAUUAUGCUUACCAUCUUGUAUGAUGACCAACUCAGUCCCAUCUACAGUGCUGAACAACUGAGCAACUUCACAAGUUACCUAAAAAAAAAAAACAACAACACUUGUCUUCACAAAGGACUGAAUGAACAAUGUAGCAUCUCUGCUAACAUUCUGUAGCAUUUGUUGGCUGUGAAAUAACUUGACUUAAUCCACCAACAGUUCGAAAUGAGACAAACUUUAUGCAUUCAUGGGAUAAUUUAGAUGUCAUUUUUCCUCUUGAGUUCCUCUCCAGUGAAGGAAAAAUAGAGAGAGAGAGAGAGUACAUGAGAGACAAAGGAUUGGUCUUAAUCAUAAAACACCUGACUUUCCCAAAAUUAUGUAAUAAAUACAGUGGAUAUGAAAUAAAUCAGAAAUGCACAAUUGCCACACUAUAGGUCCUCAACCAGGUUUAGGACAUACGUGUUUGCCAUCCUAAGUUGCAUAUAUGCACCAAUGUUUCCCUCAAUUGCGUCUCUCCUUGUGUCUUAGUCCCACCCACGUAGGAUGUGAGGAGACAGUGCAAGGAACAAAUAUGAGGAGAGAGGAAUCGAGGAAGCACGUUCAGAGAGACCUGAAGCAUCCUUUCCUCCGAUCCUUCAUCUUAAGCGCCCAAUCACCAACUGACUUUCAAUAAAGGGGUGUGUCGGUGUAUAAGACUUUUGCAAAAAGACGCUCUCAUGUGUCCUCACUCAUGGCUUCUCUGGCAGUCUCCUCGCUCCUCAAUCUUCAAUCUUCAUAGCAGAUAUAAUAGUCAUGGACGUCCUUGAGCCUCACUCAACUGGAAAAACCUCCGGGUCAAAUGAGGUUUGAGGAGUGAGCAAUGAUUAUAUAAGAAACUUGAGAUGCGGCCUGUCUUCCAUUCCCUCCUGUCAGACUGAAUCACUGCCCUCCUCCAAGUAGUGAGAUAAUCAAAAACAGCACAGAAGAUAAAAUUGAACAAAUCAAGCACAUGUAGCAUCAGCUCCAACAGGUCAUGUACUGUAUGGUAUUUACUGCACACUUACUCACCUGAAACACUUGUCAUAAUAAAAUGGUGGAAAAAACAAAUUUUUAUCUCUCAUGUACUAACAUUCAUGUGGGAUACCAAAGGUCCUGUAGCAUGCACCUGCCAAAUGACCUUAUGUAUUGUCUUGUAGAUUAGAAGAAGUAUUAGGAUGAGGUUUGUAUUCACCCUCAUACAGGCCAUUGUUUCUGUUUGGUACAAAGUCAUUCCUCUAAAAGAAUUUAGUCCUUUAACUGCCACUAGCAAACCCAUUCCUGUAUGUGCAUUUAAAUAUUACAAGUAUUUCUCUCAUGUCUGAUUGACAGUUCUCAUUUAUAAGGAGCAAAAGGACUGCCUCGAGGAGACAAAAGCCCUGCAGACAAUUGUCAGUCUUUCUUCAAUAUCAAGGGACACUAGCCAACUAAAUUACAACAAAAAGGACACCCCUACAACAAGGACGCUUUUUACGUCUCAUAAAACUGUCCCAUUAGGCGGAAAUUCUGUGUGAUCGUUUUAGAACGGGACCAAUCAGAUAAAUGCUCCCCUGACACAAAGGCCAACACUGCCAAUAAUGCACAAGAAUCCCCAGAUGCAUACUGCUGCAUCUCUCUCUUGUCCCUCUUGCUGCCAAUGACUGCUUCACUGGCAAGUUUAUGUCAAGAUAAGGAUGGCCCAAAAGGCAAAGGGUAAAACAAGAAGAAAAGGACCAAGAGUAGAGCAAGUGUGGAAGUGUACAAAGAGAACAAAUCUAUAUUUUGAUAAACAAAUCAACUAUCCAUGGCUUUGUAGGAAGUCUGAGCAAAAUCAGGUCCUGAAUGGAAGAAAUAAAUAAAAAAAAAUAAUCUGAUGCAAAUGUGAAUGGGAAAUGUGGUAUUGUGAAACGGAAUCUAAGACCUGGAAAAAGAUGGGAAUCCGGUAUUUUCUCAUGAGGGUUGGCCAAAGUUGUUUUCCCCACAAGCACUGAGAAAGAUGACUCAAAGACAAUGAGCAAGGACAGACUCUCCUUUAAAGACAUGGAGAUGACAAAGGACGGCUGCUGAGCUCAACAAAUGAGAAAAAGAUAAUGCAUUUUUGUAACUUUGUUUACCAGCAUGACUACUUUGCAUGACUGUCUUUUCUGCAAGCCCUUAGUUGAAGACAAGGGUGCUAGAGAUACAAAAAAGUAUAUAUAAAAUAAAUUUAAAAAAAUGUUAUAUGCAAUUAAUGUUUUAAAAAAGAUUAUAAUGAAAGAGAAGAGCUAUAUUUUGUUUUGAAAAGUGAAAAAAUGUGAAUAUUGAAAUGUAUGUUUGCAAAGUACACCCUGAACUAUGUUUCAUUUGAUGAACUCUCUCUGCUACUACUGCCCUACAUCCCUCAUUCCUGUUUUCUUGACUGCUGCCAUUUUUACUUUCUGAUGCAUCAAGCAGUAUAUUUUCUAACCAUUCAAUCAACAGUGAUGAUAUGAGACUUUGCCAAACUAUAGCAUUUGUGCAAAAGAUGUUUAUUGUUCAUUACAAAGUCCACGUUUUCCUCCUUGAAUCAUUUGCACAGCUACCGUAGCAGCAAAAGCAACCACAGCAGCAGCAGCCCUAAGACAGCAGCUCUCCAUACCACAACUCUGAUUGCUUUCAUAGUUAGCUUUUUUCUUUGGCAAUAAUACAUGGUUGUCAUAUGAUUGUAGCAGGGCAAACGGAGAACCUCGAGACUGUCUUCAACGCCUCAGUGUUAAAGAGAUUUGUAAAGGCCUUGGAAGCUGGGAUAGGCAGCUCUGUUCCACUAGUCCUCAGUAGAAAAUGAAACAGUGAAGACCAACAACAGACUAUAGUGGAGAACAGUCUGGAGCAAUUUUAGGUUUGCAUCGAGCCAACUGCCAUUCCAAAGUUUGCUUGUGGUUUAAAGGACUCAGGUGUGUUGACAGUGUGUGUGUGUGGAUGUAGGUGUUUUUUUGCUAUUUUCUUCUAACAUAAAAAAUUCUAAUAUAUAGAUGAUGAUAAUGUGAACACCUCACAGUGAUGUGUAAUAAACGCAUGCAUUAUGACUUGAUAAUCUCUUGAGGGGAAUGGAGUCUUGACAUAUCCCCCUAGCCUUCAUUGUUUGUCAUGAAUCCAGUCAUAGAAACGAUGAACACUGUGCCGUGUUGUAGAGCAGAAACGUCUUCCUUUGAGAGGCAACUGAAAACUACUCACACUCACAGUGUCAGCAUGAGUGUGCAGAGGUAGCUCGUCUUUUUUUUGUUUGUUUGUUUUUUUUUUUUUUAAGAUGGUCAGGUCUUUGCAUCCAUUGUUACCCAUGGAGUUACUGUCAUCCAGCUGGCUAGCUGACAGCUCAUUACAGCACACACAACGCAGUCAUGUGAGCACCAAUCAAAAAGACCCAGAGCUUCCAAAACGAUGUCAAUGAAGUACUUUAAGUGUGAGAAGGAGAAGAUGAGAGAUACAGUACCAGUGUCCACCGAGGGGUAAAAAAAGCAUCUCAUUGUUGAGUCCUCUUCAAGUACCUCAUUUUUGGUUUGGUAUUCCAAGUGAGUUUCAGGCCCUGCUGGUCCAGGGCUCAACUCAGGCAGCUGAAUGGUCCUCCGUCCAUUCUUAGUACAUUGUAGUUGGAGGCUUACCAGAAUAUGAGACUCAGUGGUGUGAUGUAGACUACAGACUAUUCGAGUUUUCUGUCAGCGCUGGUUUUACAGGGUCUAGAACUUUUGUCCAUUUGCAAAAAUGGUGCGUAGGGUUUUGUCUUUGUCCCUUAUCUUUUUAAACUUCCAGUUUCUGUUCCCAUUUUGGAAGGCAUUAAGCAGCUGUGGCUUUGAUGGUCACAAAGAUGUUUGUUAAUAUUUCAGAGUUAAUUUUCUAGCAGUGGUGGGCACACUAGCAAAAACAUUGUGCUUCACCCAGCAGUUUGUGUUUUUAUGGUCAAGUACUGUCCUUUUCUUUUCACAGCUUUCACUGUUAGGUUUGUCAUAUCUUCAUUCUCUGCAUUGUGACUGCUCUGCCAGUGCCAGGCUUAAAAAGAUGUCUUUCUUUUUCUAUUGCAUAAUACUGCCAUUUGACUUAGUCAUGUUGAACAGAAUGCAUUACAAUGUUGAGUGCCAAGUCUGUUUUAUUUUCUGAAGUCUUUGGAAAAUGUUUUCUAGUGUUAAAGAUUUCCUGCCUAACAUUCACAUGACCAAAAGAACAAAACUGCUUUACAUGUUUUAAUCCAACAGCUAUUAUGUGUAAAGAUGAUAUUAUAACAAGUCCACUGCAGGUGUUUGAAGGGUGUUAUAUGGUCCUUGAACAGCACAUCCUCAAUUAUAUCUUAUUUAUUUAUUUAUUUAUGUGCCUAUUACAAUUUUUUUUAAUUAAAUGUUUUUGAAGGACACUGUAGGCAAUCUGCACCACAAAUGCCACUGAUUGACACUUACUGUAUGCUCCCUGAGAUGUACUGUCAUCAGUUCAGGUGAUUUAACAGUCGCACUAAAGUCUUUUAUUUUACAAAGUGAUAAGCCCAGAGUUGUUUUAGAGGAAAUGUUAUCAUACUGAAUAGAUUUUUCUAAUCUAUUUAAUAUUUUAUUUUAAUUAGAAAUGAUGUGAUACAUACCAAGAAAGUCAUGCUAAUAUACAUACAUCUAAUAUUACAGACUAACAUCAUACAAUUACAUAAGCAUUCCAAAGAUAAAAGAUGUAUGCUCAUUUUACAUGCCGUCAAAUUGUAUAAAACAGACUUAGGUACUAGUCCAUUGUACUGCGGUCUUAGUAGGAGAGUGAAUGGGGAGAAGAGGUGGUCACUGGAGUAUCUGGUUGUGACUGAUGCCGGAUUUUAUUUUUGAAAUGUUUAAACACAAAGAACAACUCAUCAAGAACUGUAUAAAGUAUAUUUCAAUGGAAUGUUCAUGAUCUAUCUUUUUAUAUUUUGAAGAAAAAAUAGAAACAUAUCAAUAAAGUGGCAUAAUUGAACAUAUUUCUACUAUUGAGACUUAAAAUGUAUGAAUGUCAAUGAGAUCUAAUGUGAACCACUCCAUAGCAGCUUGAAUGAAUAACUGAUUAACAGUCAUACGAUGCUUUUUCAGAAACAUUAAAACUGCUUAAAAUCAUUGAGAUGAACUUAAAAUAAAUGAAAAAAGUGAUAUCAA